RNAcentral lists this small nuclear RNA (304 nucleotides) under Octodon degus (degu). RNAcentral's name for it is "7SK RNA (ENSODEG00000024094.1)". It matches the Rfam family "7SK RNA". From Rfam's summary of the family: 7SK was discovered as an abundant small nuclear RNA in the mid-70s but a possible function has only recently been suggested. Two independent studies have found that 7SK RNA binds the CDK9/cyclin T complex (known as elongation factor P-TEFb). P-TEFb activates transcription by phosphorylating the C-terminal domain of RNA polymerase II. Lineage: Eukaryota; Metazoa; Chordata; Mammalia; Rodentia; Octodontidae. The record is from RNAcentral.
GGAUGUGAGGGUGAUCUGGAGGUGACAUCUGUCACCCCAUUGAUCGCCAGAGCUAAUUCUGCUGACCCAGCUGACUAAGUGGGUGUCCCUUCCUCCCUCAGUGCUCUGUGUGUGUCCCCCUGGAUCUGCAUGCUCAGUCAAAGAAGAACACCCCCCAUAGAAGGGGACCAUUCCUUGGUCAAAGUUGUAGCAGUAGCUGCGCUCCCUGCUAGGCCCUCCAACCAAGCUCUCAAGAGUACAGUCGAGAUCAGAAAGCAAAUGGAUUCCCAGGCGUGUCCCUUCUUGUUUCAACAUAAGAAUUUAA